This 384-nucleotide ribosomal RNA is filed under the name Triticum aestivum (bread wheat). RNAcentral describes it as "partial small subunit ribosomal RNA". The record is from RNAcentral. Lineage: Eukaryota; Viridiplantae; Streptophyta; Magnoliopsida; Poales; Poaceae.
AUGGCAUCCUCCUGUUCCUUCCUUCUCCUUGCCGCUCUUCUUGCAUUGGUCUCGUGGCAGGCCAUUGCCUCCGACCCUAGCCCACUCCAGGACUUUUGUGUUGCUGACAUGCAUUCACCAGUGCGUGUCAAUGGGUUUGUUUGCAAGAAUCCGAUGGAAGUCAACGCCGAUGACUUCUUCAAGGCAGCUGCUCUGGACAGGCCUAGGGUGACCAACAAGGUUGGAUCCAAUGUCAGCUUGAUCAAUGUCAUGCAGAUUGCUGGACUCAACAUCCUCGGCAUCUCAAUCGCACGGAUCGACUAUGCUCCCUUAGCACAAAACCCACCACAUACGCAUCCUCGCGCCACUGAGAUCCUGACGGCACUACUAGGAAAAGGGCUAUAG